Long non-coding RNA from Triplophysa dalaica, 695 nucleotides. RefSeq lists it as uncharacterized. The record is from RefSeq and is a predicted model, not a curated record. Lineage: Eukaryota; Metazoa; Chordata; Actinopteri; Cypriniformes; Nemacheilidae. The transcript has 4 exons.
AAACUACAGCGUUAUUUUACAGAAGCUGACUGUUUUUUAAAUAAUACAGAAUAUUGCUGUAAAGUGCAAUGCAUUCUGGGGUCACGUGACGGAUUAACUCAAAUGUACAGAAUAUUGCUGUAAAUUUCAAAUCUACAAUGGCGGGAUGAUCUUCAACGGUCGAGAUUGGUGUAGUGCGCAAAAUGAGUGAUUCACACAUGUGACACACUUUGCCAUGCAGGCCACUGGAUACUGACUACUGAAGGUUAGGUUGUGUGUGACGGUGCUCAGCACAGCUUCAUGUCUGGCCUUCCCACUCUGUUCAUAGCAUGUUACAUAUUCAAUCUUGAGUACCAGGAUGGGGCAAGCGUGUAUCUUGGAGUCCAAUGAAAGAUAUUAAUCCAGAGAGUGGAACAAGAAGAAGCAUCAUCUAAAAUGCCAGGAAACAGAAGAAACAGGUUGCAGUGAACCCACAUGUUGCUGCUCUACACAAUAAUGAAUUUUCAAUGUAAUCGAUGAAAAUUCUAGCUACUUGUUGUGCUCUGAUGGAUCAAGAUGUGGACCGUUUUACAGACUCACUUGGGCCUUGUUUUGCAAUUUUGUUUCAUGAUGGUAAUGUUGGUUAACGCGUUGUUUAAACAUGAAUGUUUAAAGAGCCAUGUUGGAUACUAUGAAGUUGAAACUGAAUAAAAUUAUUUCAUGUACAACAACGUACA